ACGAACGCUGGCGGCGUGCUUAACACAUGCCAGUCGAACGGAAAGGCCCCUUUGGGGGUACUCGAGUGGCGAACGGGUGAGUAACACGUGAGUAACCUGCCCUUGACUUCGGGAUAACUUCAGGAAACUGGGGCUAAUACCGGAUAGGAAUCCUUGCUGCAUGGUGGGGGUUGGAAAGCUUCGGCGGUUUUGGAUGGACUCGCGGCUUAUCAGCUUGUUGGUGGGGUAGUGGCUUACCAAGGCUUUGACGGGUAGCCGGCCUGAGAGGGCGACCGGCCACAUUGGGACUGAGAUACGGCCCAGACUCCUACGGGAGGCAGCAGUGGGGAAUAUUGCACAAUGGGCGGAAGCCUGAUGCAGCAACGCCGCGUGCGGGAUGACGGCCUUCGGGUUGUAAACCGCUUUCAGCAGGGGCGAAGCUUGUGGUGACGGUACCUGCAGAAGAAGCACCGGCUAACUACGU
Molecule: ribosomal RNA, 463 nt
Filed under: uncultured bacterium
Lineage: Bacteria
Description: partial 16S ribosomal RNA
Rfam family: Bacterial small subunit ribosomal RNA
Source: RNAcentral